This 211-nucleotide unclassified non-coding RNA is filed under the name Hevea brasiliensis (rubber tree). Lineage: Eukaryota; Viridiplantae; Streptophyta; Magnoliopsida; Malpighiales; Euphorbiaceae. The record is from RNAcentral.
AGUCCAAACAGAAAGAAACUCCGAUUGGGCACAAUUGAAAACUGAAAGAAUUACUCCAGACUGGAAAUGCCUUUCAGAAAGUCUAUCAAGCACAUUUCUUUGGAAUAAAGGUUAUCACGCAGCUGAACUUGGCGCGAGUACUGAUCACUGCAAAGUAUUCCUAGAUUCAGAGGACGUAGGACGUACUCUUGAUCUCUCAGUUCUAGGAUCA